GGCCUUUCUAGGGAGUUUUUCCUAGCCACCGUGCUUCUACACCUGCAUUGCUUGAUGUUUGGGGUUUUAGGCUGGGUUUCUGUACAGCACUUUGUGAUAUCAGCUGAUGUAAGAAGGGCUAUAUAAAUACAUUUGAUUUGAUCUGAUGUCCUCUCCUCUUAUUGGUGUGAUGUAGUGAAGGGUCUGAUGUCCUCUCCUCUUAUUGGUGUGAGGUAGUGAAGGAUCUGAUGUCCUCUCCUCUUAUUGGUGUGAGGUAGUGAAGGGUCAGUUCAAGUGAAUAUACACCGAUGUCCGCUCCAGUGAGUUCAUUACCUUCCAGCUUUACUCUGUUCUGGAGCAUUUUCUUCUGUUUUGGUAAGAGAUCCUUGGACCUGUGUCUUAUUUGUCACCGUAUAACCCUUGACAGUGGUACGAUUCUUAACAUCAACCACCCAUGAUGGUUAUGUAACAGCAACAAUCACCAGCUGUAUCUUUCCACAGUGGAUAGACAUAGAGGAAAACACACCGUUCUCCUGUAGAGUGCUUUAGGUAUCACGUUACACCAAACCAAUUCAUUGUUAUAAUACAGACAGAGGUGAAAAGCUGUUCAUCAUGUUACACGGAGGAGAAAAGACAGCUAGGGACAAAACGUGGGAGAGAAAAAAAAGCUUGGGGUGAAAGAGAGGGCACAGGAGGUAAAGACGGAGAGAUGAAUAAAGUGGAGGAGAAAGGGAAAGAAAGAAAUAAAGAAAGAAGGAAGGAAGGAAAGAAAUGAGCAUUGAUUAAACAGAAUACAACUACUAAGAAAUAUAACAGCAAAGAGAGAAAAGUCAUGUCAGCUUACAGAGAAUGAUUUAAGAGAACACAGC
RNAcentral lists this long non-coding RNA (848 nucleotides) under Salmo salar (Atlantic salmon). RNAcentral's name for it is "lncRNA (ENSSSAG00000116668.1)". Lineage: Eukaryota; Metazoa; Chordata; Actinopteri; Salmoniformes; Salmonidae. The record is from RNAcentral.